This 197-nucleotide long non-coding RNA is filed under the name Macaca nemestrina (pig-tailed macaque). RNAcentral's name for it is "lncRNA (ENSMNEG00000045786.1)". The record is from RNAcentral. Lineage: Eukaryota; Metazoa; Chordata; Mammalia; Primates; Cercopithecidae.
UGAAAGAGCACACAUUGCUCCUUAGGAGUCCAGUAUUAUCUCUAAUGCAACUCUAUUCCAAACGACCAGUGUCCAAUUUCACGAGCCUCUUGGUUGAGGAGUUCUCUGGCUUUAGCAGUAUUUCAUCUAUCAUUGAGAAUGAGAUGAGAAUAUCUCAACGAUGGCAGAUUGUUUUGCUUAUUGGUGUUGAAUUUUAA